RNAcentral lists this ribosomal RNA (508 nucleotides) under uncultured bacterium. RNAcentral's name for it is "bacterial SSU rRNA". It matches the Rfam family "Bacterial small subunit ribosomal RNA", at positions 335 to 862 of the family's 1533-position model. The record is from RNAcentral.
CACUACGGGUGGCUGCAGUAACGAAUCUUCCGCAAUGCACGCAAGUGUGACGGAGCGACGCCGCGUGGAGGUUAAGUCCUUCGGGAUGUAAACUCCUGUCAGGGGUUACCAAGAUCUGAGGAGCCCCAGAGGAAGGCACGGCUAACUCUGUGCCAGCAGCCGCGGUAAUACAGAGGUGCCAAGCGUUAGGCGGAAUCACUGGGCUUAAAGCGCGUGUAGGUGGAUGGGUAAGUACCUUGUGAAAUCCCACGGCUCAACCGUGGAACUGCUGGGUAUACUGCCUGUCUUGAGGCACUCAGGGGCAGCUGGAACAAAUGGUGGAGCGGUGAAAUGCGUAGAUAUCAUUUGGAACGCCAAAGGCGAAAGCAGGCUGCUGGGAGUGAUCUGACACUGAGACGCGAAAGCCAGGGGAGCAAACGGGAUUAGAUACCCCGGUAGUCCUGGCCCUAAACGAUGUCCACUAGAUGGUGGCGGCUCUGACGCCGUCAUGGUCGAAGCAAAAGUGUUA